GCCGGGCACGGUGGCUCAUGCCUGUAAUCCUAGCACUUUGGGAGGCUGAGGCAGGUGGUUCACCUGAGGUCAGGAGUUCAAGACCAGCCUGACCAACAUGGAGAAACCCCGUCUCUC
This is an unclassified non-coding RNA of Papio anubis (olive baboon), 117 nucleotides long. It matches the Rfam family "Metazoan signal recognition particle RNA". From Rfam's summary of the family: The signal recognition particle (SRP) is a universally conserved ribonucleoprotein. It is involved in the co-translational targeting of proteins to membranes. The record is from Ensembl. NCBI's taxonomy places the organism in Eukaryota, Metazoa, Chordata, Mammalia, Primates, Cercopithecidae.